UUGUUGCAUGGAACAUCUUUAUCUAGUCCCUUCAUUAAUUAGUGACCAACCAAAAGAAAUUGUCCUUUUUGUUUAAAAAGAGAGAAAAAUAAAGCGUGUCUAUUGCUGCUCCUACUUGCACCUCCGUUAACGCAAUCAUAUCUUUAACUCAUACAACUAAACUCUUACUUUUCGUCGUUGCUUCUACUCCUCAAAUCACACAACCCCCAAUAUAGUUUUUUUUUUAUCACAUCGUAACAAUAUGGGGCUGCCAAAAAAAAUAUGUACGAUUAAAAAGCUUGAUGUAGAAUGCAUGUAGAAAAGUUCGACUGAGUCAAAGCAAGUUGUUUUAUUCCAGAAACAUGGUCCAGUUACGCCCCAAUAAUUGGAUACAUACAAACUCUGAAACAAAACAAAAGAAUAUAAAAAAAAAUAUUUAGUAAAAAAGGAAAAAGUUAUAUAAAAGUAAUAUUCUCCUCAAAUUUCAACUAAAUUUUGAGAACAUGAAGUCGAACAAUUUCACACGUAAUGUUCCUCUAGACCUCUUAUUUUUGUCUCUCCUAUAGGCCUCUACGUAGUGAUUUAGGCUGUACUAAAACAUUUGAAUUUGGUAAUCUUGUGCAAUCUAUAAUAAACAUAUAUACAAAGCAUGCACCAGUUAUAUAGCAAAC
RNAcentral lists this long non-coding RNA (650 nucleotides) under Brassica rapa (field mustard). RNAcentral describes it as "long non-coding RNA (BRAP_LNC006017)". Lineage: Eukaryota; Viridiplantae; Streptophyta; Magnoliopsida; Brassicales; Brassicaceae. The record is from RNAcentral.